UUCCAUAUACAUGUAUUUUUUCUGAAAAAUUGCCAUGUACGCAUUUUUAUUCUUCAUAUUUUUGGUCACCUACUAAAGGAAAAAAAAGGAGGAAAUGGAACCCGGCAUUAUUAAAACUGUUAUACAUAUAUGCAUUACGCACAUAUGUGCCUUUCUUUGUAACGCUGACACACGCUCACAUCUUUUACGUUACUUUGUACAAAGUGCGCACCUGAUUGUACGUGGAACGAUAAUGCUCUCGUCUAUAACCAAUGCCGAUUCUAUUAGGCAGGCUUCAACAGGCUGAAGCAUGUCCUUCGAAAUUAAAAUUCAGUCUAUCCCAACCCAUUCCAGCCUAGUUUUAGCCCAUCUUAUUUCAGAUUCAUCCUUUGCACUGAAGUUGGGUCUAUCCUUCAAAUUCGUCAUAGAUUCGCCACUGCUAUAGCCUAGUUGCUUUGAUUUGUCUCACACACAAAAAAAACCCAGUUGCUUUGGUUCUGGUUUCUAUAGAUACGAAGAGAGGCGCAGAAGCAGUGCAACGUGUACAGGUUGCAAUGUCCCGUCCAAAAUGGGGGAAGAGAAAUGCGCAUUCCUCGCCACCGGAAGCUUCCUGACGGCAAGAAUGUGAUCCUCGUGCCGAAGUGGUGGGGAUCAAAGCCGACCGUGGUAAAGUGAGUUC
This 658-nucleotide long non-coding RNA is filed under the name Hordeum vulgare. RNAcentral describes it as "long non-coding RNA (HVUL_LNC002071)". Lineage: Eukaryota; Viridiplantae; Streptophyta; Magnoliopsida; Poales; Poaceae. The record is from RNAcentral.